GAUCGUUCUCACAGCGUACCAAGUGCCACACAACUCUCUUUGUUUGGACGAAGCGCAGACAACAGCACCCCUGUCACGCGCUCCUUUUUUCUACCCCCCCCCUCCUCCCCCACCUCCUCCGUGCAGCCCUCUCUCCCAUUUCUCGCUGUUCGCGCCCUGUCUGGGGCUUCGCUUCGGUCUUUUCUCAUCAAGUUGUGCGGCGGACGAGAGCGCAAGAGGGAUCGUCUUUGCGCGUGUGUCCGUCGAGGCUCGGGUGCGUGCCACCAUCAUACUUCCCCCCACCCCACCCCACCCCCCCCAAACACACACAUCUCCACAGCAUCCCUCAACAUAUUCGACGAAGAGGAUCGGGAGAAGAAGGGAAAACAUACCAGAGUUGUGUGCUUCUCUAUUUUCUAUUUGCGAUGCCGGACGAUCGCCGUCGCUCCUCCCGCACGGACGGUGCGCUCGUCGCGCACCGUCCGGACGACUCCGCGUCGCCGGUGGAGCGACGGAUGAGGGUUGAUCCGCGCACCCAUACGAAGUCCUUGUACCAGCGCGGCCCCGAUGGCAGCGAGAUGUACGCGUCCUACUAUAACUCCAACGACGACCCUACCUUUCAGGAGCGCUUUAACCGGCACAACAACGGCAAUGCCUUUGUGCAGAGCGCGCAGUUCACAUAUGUGUCGCACGGAUGUGGCGGGGGUCGCAAUCCCGGCGUCGUGAAGGAGCGCCAGCGUCCAGUCGUGGUCGAGGAGCCAGUGGGCGCGGACAAGCACGAGGCGAGCACGGACAGUGGUAACAAUGCCAACGUGUACGCCAAUCACAGGGAUAAGGAGAAGCGUCGAACGUCGAAACAGGAUCCCAUCGUUGAAGAGCCCGACGGUGAAAACGACUACAAUGACGCUGAUUCGCGAGCCCACCGCCGCAGCGGCAAGAAAGGCGAGCGCAGCUCACAUCCAGACGCCCUAGAGUUCUGGAGGGAUCCGUGGGGUAUGGAGUCGAUGAUGGCGGAGAUGAUGCAGCCACCGCUGGGAUUUGGGGACGCGUUCCCCUUCACCUCUCGGCGUGCGCCAGCGCAGGGUAGACAGAAGUCGCCGUCGGCCUCGGACGAAUCGAAGUGGCAGCUCAGCCCCUACAGCCGCGGCGGGGUGAUGGGCGGUCCGUUCACGGGAGAUUUCUUUGGCACCGGCGGGCCCGAGAGUCCGUUUCGCAUGAUGGAGGCAAUGCAAUACCACAUGCAUAAGCAGCGCGCCGCCAUGUUCGGCGGCGUCGAUCCCUUUGCGCGUUUUAUGUAGGGUGAGAGAACAACCAUCAGAGAGAUGCGAGUGCGCGCGCAUGCGACAUCCCUGCCGACGUCUCUGCCGCGCACCUCGCUCCCGGCGGCCUCGUUACCUUCACGUCUUGGCUGAGCUCUCUCGCUGCUCUUUACUUUUCUUUCUUUUUUUUUCUUCGACCCCUCCCCUCCCUCGAACGUGUGCGUGCGUGUGUGUGUGUGUGUUUCUGGCAACCCAAAGAACUCUGCAUUUUGCCUACGUCACGAAGAAGCAGCAGAGACACACGCCUUUCUUUCCCUCGGCGUGGAUGCCCCUCGUGUCCUGAGGGGCGGCCUUCGCUCUCGUAGCGGCGGUCUGUUCGAGAGAGUGAGGGAGAGAGCUAUGCGCAAGAGGGCAAAAAACUAUAUAUAUAUAUAUAUAUAUACAUAUAGCAACCGGUCAAGCUGAUCACACCAUAGACAUACACAGACGCAGACACAGACGGCCACGUCUCGUUUCUCUCACAGGCGGCAUGAUGCUAUCCACGGUAUCUUUGGGUUUGCUCGUGUUGCCCUCGGGCCCGCCGCUACCGGGAGCGUAUGCUUAUGGAUGUGCAUAUAUGUAUCUUCUCUUGUCCACGCGGGCAACUCUUGUGCGUGUGUGCGUGCGUGUGUGUGCGUGCGUGCGUGUGUGUGUGUGUGUGUGUGUGUGCGCACGUGCUGAAGGAUCGGGUUGUGGUCCUUUCCAUCCUGUCCUGUUCUCUUUGUCGUUCUUAUUGUUGCUCGCCUUCCCUCCCUUGUCCAUCCUCUCCGCUGUGCUUGCCUCUACUAGGCGGAAGACGGAAGAAACGAAACAGAUACAAUAUAUAUAUAUAUAUGGUUUUGUUUACAUGGGAGAGACGCGUGGGGGAGGGAUAGAAGGGAACGAUGUGUCUGCUGUACGUGCUCCUCCCGCCCUUCUGCCUCUCCCUCUCUCACUCUGCCCUCUGUGUGUGUGUGUGUGUGUGUGUGUCUUCCUGCGCUUCGCUCGCCACGAUGGAAGCAUGGGCAUAACCGAAGCCGCGAGGUGUGAAGGCGUGUGUGUCUCGUGAACGAUGCGGAUGCGACGCACCACCCUCAGGGAUGACGAGGCGGCACCGCAGGGAGACUACACCAACGAGAGAACAUAUAUAUUUAUUUACGUAUAGCACUGACUGCGGAGGUCGUCAGCUCCUUCGCUUUACAACCACGGCUAUUUAUGAGCACGUGAAGGGAUGGGUUGGAGAUGAGGAGGGAGAGAGAGGCGUGCUGCUGUGUGCUUUAGUGACGCACGAGUAGGGGUGAAGAAGGUGAUAGUGGCGACGUCGUGGUAAGACAGCGCCGCUGUAUACCGCACGGGCUGCUGGCGGUGAUCCUUCGUUUCCCCCAUCUCUCUCCUGCGAAUGGUACACACGACCCAGCGGCCUCCGAAACGCGUUCUCACUCUCUUUGUUUUUUUUUCCAGUUUCUUUCGAAGGUUCGCCAACCUUAGCGGCAUGUGUGGGACAGUGAAAGAGUGGGGGAGGGGGUGGGCGAGAAGGGGGCUUCAUGUGGUGGCGAGGCUUUUGCUUUUGGAUGUUGAUGCAUCCACCCUUCGCGCACACACACACACACGCGCGCCCAAGCACACAGAAAGGAGAAAGAAACACACAAGCCACCCCGCCCCUCCCCGCCGUCGUUCACGCGCUACACUACCGCCACUUGUCGUCCAGCCCCUACGCUUCUCUUUGUUCUUUCCCCUCCUCUCUCCACCCCACCCCCGGCCACCAACAACUGUGGUUCGCCUGGCACACUUCUGCGCUGCUCUCGCUUCAUCUCCUGCGCGCGCGUGUGCCGUGUGCUUGUGUCCUCCUAUUGGGAAGCCAAAGAC
RNAcentral lists this unclassified non-coding RNA (3122 nucleotides) under Leishmania donovani. RNAcentral describes it as "gene:LdHU3.08.1140(CDS-product:hypothetical_prote in_conserved)". The record is from RNAcentral. Lineage: Eukaryota; Euglenozoa; Kinetoplastea; Trypanosomatida; Trypanosomatidae.